Molecule: ribosomal RNA, 466 nt
Filed under: Vreelandella stevensii
Lineage: Bacteria; Pseudomonadati; Pseudomonadota; Gammaproteobacteria; Oceanospirillales; Halomonadaceae
Description: partial 16S ribosomal RNA
Rfam family: Bacterial small subunit ribosomal RNA
Source: RNAcentral
CCUACGGGAGGCUGCAGUGGGGAAUAUUGGACAAUGGGCGAAAGCCUGAUCCAGCCAUGCCGCGUGUGUGAAGAAGGCCUUCGGGUUGUAAAGCACUUUCAGUGGGGAAGAAAGCCUUGGGGCUAAUACCCUCGAGGAAGGACAUCACCCACAGAAGAAGCACCGGCUAACUCCGUGCCAGCAGCCGCGGUAAUACGGAGGGGUGCGAGCGUUAAUCGGAAUUACUGGGCGUAAAGCGCGCGUAGGCGGUCUGAUAAGCCGGUUGUGAAAGCCCCGGGCUCAACCUGGGAACGGCAUCCGGAACUGGCAGGCUAGAGUGCAGGAGAGGAAGGUAGAAUUCCCGGUGUAGCGGUGAAAUGCGUAGAGAUCGGGAGGAAUACCAGUGGCGAAGGCGGCCUUCUGGACUGACACUGACGCUGAGGUGCGAAAGCGUGGGUAGCAAACAGGAUUAGAUACCCCUGUAGUC